This is a non-coding RNA of Triticum aestivum (bread wheat), 125 nucleotides long. Lineage: Eukaryota; Viridiplantae; Streptophyta; Magnoliopsida; Poales; Poaceae. The record is from Rfam.
UUUAUACUCCCUCCGUCCGGAAAUACUUGUCCAAGAAAUGAAUGUAUUUAGAUAUAUUUUAAUUCUAUAUACAUCCAUUUCUAUUCAUUUUUAUGACAAGUAUUUUCGGACGGAGAGAAUAUUUG